CACGUAGGUGGCAAGCGUUGUCCGGAUUUACUGGGUGUAAAGGGCGUGCAGCCGGGCUGACAAGUCAGAUGUGAAAUCCCGCGGCUCAACCGCGGAACUGCAUUUGAAACUGUCAGUCUUGAGUACCGGAGAGGUCAUCGGAAUUCCUUGUGUAGCGGUGAAAUGCGUAGAUAUAAGGAAGAACACCAGUGGCGAAGGCGGAUGACUGGACGGCAACUGACGGUGAGGCGCGAAAGCGUGGGGAGCAAACAGG
Molecule: ribosomal RNA, 253 nt
Filed under: uncultured bacterium
Lineage: Bacteria
Description: partial 16S ribosomal RNA
Rfam family: Bacterial small subunit ribosomal RNA
Source: RNAcentral